AUGGCGACUCUCAUGCUACUCAUCGUCCAGGCACAAAGCAUCACUAGGCACUACGAUUUCAAUGUGCAAAUGGCGAACGUGACGAGGCUGUGCGCCAGCAAGAGCAUCGUGACGGUGAACGGGGAGUACCCCGGCCCGACGCUGGUGGCGAGGGAGGGCGAUCGCGUGCUCGUCCGCGUCACCAACCACGUAGCGCACAACAUGACGCUGCACUGGCACGGCAUCCGGCAGCUGCGGAGCGGCUGGGCCGACGGGCCGGCGUACGUCACGCAGUGCCCGAUUCAGACGGGCCAGAGCUACGUCUACAACUUCACCGUCACCGGGCAGCGCGGCACACUCUGGUGGCACGCGCACAUCUCCUGGCUACGCGCCACCGUCUACGGCGUCAUCGUCAUCCUUCCCAAGCUCGGCGUGCUUUACCCCUUCGUUGCGCCACACAAGGAAGUUCCAGUUCUCUUCGGUGAGUGGUGGAGGGCGGACACGGAGGCACUGGUCAGCCAGGCGCUCCGGACGGGCGGCGCCCCAAAUAUCUCAGACGCUUUCACCAUCAAUGGCCUCCCUGGGCCGCUAUACAACUGCUCCGCUAAAGACACGUUCAAGCUGAAGGUGGAACCUGGGAAAACAUACCUACUGCGCCUCAUCAACGCUGCUCUCAACGACGAGCUAUUCUUCUCCGUCGCCAACCACACACUCACCAUCGUCGAGGUCGACGCAGUUUACGUCAAACCAUUCACUGUCAAGACCCUGAUAAUCUCUCCGGGCCAGACCACCAACGUGCUCAGGCUAACUUCUACAUGUCCGCCGCGCCAUACUCCGUCAUCAGGCCUGGCACGUUCGACAGCACCACGGUCGCCGGCAUACUCGAGUACCACAACUCUCGCUCCGCCUCCGAGUCAAGCUUCGACAGACCUGCCACUCUUCAGGCCGACUAUGCCGAGGUUCAACGACACGGGCCUGGUCACCAACUUCACCUCCAAGCUCCGGAGCCUUGCCACACCGCAGUACCCGGCCGCCGUGCCACAGUCGGUGGACAAGCGGUUCUUCUUCACGGUCGGGCUGGGCACACGCCCUUGCCCCGUGAAUGCGACGUGCCAGGGGCCUACCAACACCACGCAGUUUGCGGCGGCCAUCAACAACAUCUCCCUGGUGCUUCCUUCGACAGCGCUCCUAUAGUCGCACUUCACAGGCAUGUCUCGAGGUGUCUACGGGUCAAACUUUCCAAUCAUGCCUCUCUCACGGUUCAACUACACUGGGGUAUCGCCGAACAACAUGAACGUGGCCACCGGGACGAAGCUGCUCGUGCUGCCAUUCAACGCGAUGGUGGAGCUGGUGAUGCAGGACACGAGCAUCCUUGGCAUCGAGAGCCACCCUCUGCACCUGCACGGCUUCAACUUCUUCGUUGUCGGGCAAGGCUUUGGCAACUACGACCCUGUGAAUGAUCCGACGAGGUUUAACCUCGUCGACCCCGUCGAGCGGAACACCGUUGGAGUGCCGGCUGGUGGGUGGGUGGCCAUACGUUUUCUCGCCGACAACCCAGGUGUAUGGUUCAUGCAUUGCCAUUUGGAGGUGCACACAACUUGGGGACUACGAAUGGCAUGGUUGGUGCUAGACGGGAACCUGCCGAACCAGAAGCUACUCCCCCCGCCAUCCGAUCUUCCCAAAUGCUAG
This 1668-nucleotide ribosomal RNA is filed under the name Triticum aestivum (bread wheat). RNAcentral's name for it is "partial small subunit ribosomal RNA". The record is from RNAcentral. Lineage: Eukaryota; Viridiplantae; Streptophyta; Magnoliopsida; Poales; Poaceae.